Molecule: long non-coding RNA, 215 nt
Filed under: Lathyrus oleraceus (garden pea)
Lineage: Eukaryota; Viridiplantae; Streptophyta; Magnoliopsida; Fabales; Fabaceae
Description: Pisum sativum (pea) long non-coding RNA (PSAT_LNC007385)
Source: RNAcentral
AAGAAGACUUCGAUUAAAGAGCGCAUGAGAUAUAUUAUCUACUACCGUUAUAUGGGUAAAACAUAGAUAACAUACUCGCAUGGAAGAUUAUCCGCAACCGGUUACUGGGUUAAUAAAGGAUAAAUCGACCGAAAAGAAAGGACAUCAGGAUACCGGUUACUGGGUAUAAAAUGAUGACCAAUCAGAAGGAGAAACAAUCAUUUCCAAACAAGGGU